UUCAUUUAGCUUUUCUUCAGCCAUUCAGAGGUGGACUUGCUUUUGGAUCAGUGUCCUGCUGCAGAACAGAUGGCUGGGAAUUCUCUUUCAGGGUUUUUUGGUAGACAAAAAAUGUGUUCAGAAGGAGAAAAACAGCCCCAGACCAUCACACUACCACCACCAGAUUUUACUGUUGCUGUGAUGUUCUUCUGAAAUGCUGUGCUACACCAGAUAUAAUAGGACACACACCUUCCCAGCAGUUCAACUUUUGUCUCGUCAGACUUUUCUGAAAAGAUGUUUUCUGGUAAACCUGAGAUGAGCCUUGAUGCUCUUUUUGCUCAGCAGUGGUUUUGGUCUUUGAACUUUGAGCCAUUCAGCCCAUUUCUGCCCAGCCUCUUUCUUAUGGUGGAGUCACGAACACUGACCUAAAGUGAGAAGAACACAUCAGGUGACCCUACAGACCAUGGUUCACUGGGAGGUGGAUGUCCACGAGCCCCUCGCUCCCGUGCUUAGCGCUGGUGUUUCCCUGACAACCAGAGCAGCAGAUAUACCUACACAUGCCGGCCUGGGGAAGCCGCAUUGUGAGCAGGGAAGUGAUGUUGCCGUGGUGAUGAUGAAAGGAGAAAUAUUGUAAUCGCAAGGGAAGAAGCCGGGCAAGACUGCAAUUCACGCAGCUGAUGACGGUUAACCCUCAACACACCACCACAGGAUUGUUCUUGUGCAGGUAGAAGCAGCGGAGCAAGGCCAUACCAUUGUCACCACGGAAGAGGACCUGUACGAUGCUGGUUCCAUGGCAACGCCGGCCGCCCACUCUCCCCUCAGGCUGCG
This is a long non-coding RNA of Mugil cephalus (flathead mullet), 807 nucleotides long. RefSeq lists it as uncharacterized. NCBI's taxonomy places the organism in Eukaryota, Metazoa, Chordata, Actinopteri, Mugiliformes, Mugilidae. The record is from RefSeq and is a predicted model, not a curated record. The transcript is spliced from 4 exons.